UCAAGACCUAUUUUCAUAUUAUUGAUAUUUGCACCAGGGUGAUCGUUUAGGGUCUCCAUCCCCAAUCAUAUCCCCAUUGAACCAUGUCAUCGAGCAGUUGUUUUUCUUCUGUGUUUCUGCUCCCACAGUUCUUCCUCUGGAUGUGGAUAGUGUUCUUUCUCAUGAAUCCCUCAGAAUUGACCUUGAUCAUUGCAUUGCUGCUAGUAGAGAAGUUCAUUAUGUUCAAUUGUGCCACAAAGUAUCAGUCUCUGCACAAUGUUCUUCUGCUCCUUUCACUCUGCAUCACUUCCUGGAAGUUGUUCCAGUUCACAUGGAAUUAAUUCCUCCACUUUAUUAUUCCUUUGAGCACAAUAAUAUUCCAUCACCAACAGAUUCCACAAUUUGUUCAGCCAUUCCCCAAUCGAAGGACAUCCCCUCAUUUUCCAGUAAUUAGUGUUUUAGUAACAAAAUGAAGACCCAAAUUCACAAUCCUUGAAACUGUUAGCAGAGUAUUUAAUGCCUUUCUAUUUCUUACUCUUGCUAUCCAUUUUCUGGGCAGGUGCUGCUGGAGACAUAAAUGUUGCUAUAAAAAUAUAGAUGAAAACUGUGGCCCUGAUUGGCGUCCUUAUGAUUAUUCCUUUGUGGAACCUGAUGAAUUAUGUUGUGGGAAACUAGCUGGGAUGUUCUUCUGGAUCUCUCCCUCCACCUACUUUCACUGCCAAAGGGAUGAAUGAAUGCAGUACUCUCUCCCACUUGAGGAGUGACUAUAGAUGGAAGGAAAGGAGAACAUACUUGGUUGCUGCCAACGGGAUGUGAUAGAAGACAGGACACCUAAGUUCUGGUUGCCUCAUCUACUGGAGCAGAUGGGUCUUGCUGGAAAAAUCAAAGUUGGUAUGAUACGAGAGGAAACAAAUCUGACCCCCAAAUCCAACAUUAUGGAUAGAGCUACCACCUGGGGAAGUAACCUGUGGUAAGUGAAUAAGAAUAAUAUUAACAAGUAGCAUUUAUAUAAUGCUUUAUUGCUGGGAUUGCUGGGCACUAUGGUAAUUUUUUUACAAAUAUCUCAUUUGAUUUUCAGAAUUACCCUAGGAUCUGGCAUUUU
Non-coding RNA from Monodelphis domestica (gray short-tailed opossum), 1081 nucleotides. The record is from RefSeq and is a predicted model, not a curated record. Lineage: Eukaryota; Metazoa; Chordata; Mammalia; Didelphimorphia; Didelphidae.